This 449-nucleotide ribosomal RNA is filed under the name uncultured bacterium. RNAcentral describes it as "partial 16S ribosomal RNA". It matches the Rfam family "Bacterial small subunit ribosomal RNA", at positions 29 to 523 of the family's 1533-position model. The record is from RNAcentral.
AACGAACGCUGGCGGCAUGCCUAAUACAUGCAAGUCGAACGAUCUCUUCGGAGAUAGUGGCGCACGGGUGCGUAACGCGUGGGAAUCUGCCCUUGGGUUCGGAAUAGCGUCGGGAAACUGACGCUAAUACCGGAUGAUGACGUAAGUCCAAAGAUUUAUCGCCCAGGGAUGAGCCCGCGUAGGAUUAGCUAGUUGGUGAGGUAAAGGAUCACCAAGGCGACGAUCCUUAGCUGGUCUGAGAGGAUGAUCAGCCACACUGGGACUGAGACACGGCCCAGACUCCUACGGGAGGCAGCAGUAGGGAAUAUUGGACAAUGGGCGAAAGCCUGAUCCAGCAAUGCCGCGUGAGUGAUGAAGGCCUUAGGGUUGUAAAGCUCUUUUACCCAGGAUGAUAAUGACAGUACCGGGAGAAUAAGCCCCGGCUAACUCCGUGCCAGCCGCCGCCGUAA